RNAcentral lists this ribosomal RNA (400 nucleotides) under uncultured bacterium. RNAcentral describes it as "bacterial SSU rRNA". It matches the Rfam family "Bacterial small subunit ribosomal RNA", at positions 8 to 412 of the family's 1533-position model. The record is from RNAcentral.
AGAGUUUGAUCCUGGCUCAGAUUGAACGCUGGCGGCAUGCUUUACACAUGCAAGUCGAACGGUAACAGGUCUUCGGAUGCUGACGAGUGGCGAACGGGUGAGUAAUGCAUCGGAACGUGCCCAGUCGUGGGGGAUAACGCAGCGAAAGCUGUGCUAAUACCGCAUACGAUCUAUGGAUGAAAGCGGGGGAUCGCAAGACCUCGCGCGAUUGGAGCGGCCGAUGUCAGAUUAGCUAGUUGGUGGGGUAAAGGCCCACCAAGGCGACGAUCUGUAGCUGGUCUGAGAGGACGACCAGCCACACUGGGACUGAGACACGGCCCAGACUCCUACGGGAGGCAGCAGUGGGGAAUUUUGGACAAUGGGCGCAAGCCUGAUCCAGCAAUGCCGCGUGCAGGAAGAA